AGGCAGCAGUGAGGAUAUUGGUCAAUGGACGAGAGUCUGAACCAGCCAAGUAGCGUGAAGGAUGACUGCCCUAUGGGUUGUAAACUUCUUUUAUAHGGGAAUAAAGUVDKSCACGUGUGSMUUUUUGUAUGUACCDUAUGAAUAAGGAUCGGCUAACUCCGUGCCAGCAGCCGCGGUAAUACGGAGGAUCCGAGCGUUAUCCGGAUUUAUUGGGUUUAAAGGGAGCGUAGGUGGAUKGUUAAGUCAGUUGUGAAAGUUUGCGGCUCAACCGUAAAAUUGCAGUUGAWACUGGSWGUCUUGAGURCAGUWGAGGYRGGCGGAAUUCGUGGUGUAGCGGUGAAAUGCUUAYAUAUCACGA
This 358-nucleotide ribosomal RNA is filed under the name uncultured Bacteroides sp. RNAcentral describes it as "partial 16S ribosomal RNA". It matches the Rfam family "Bacterial small subunit ribosomal RNA", at positions 346 to 702 of the family's 1533-position model. The record is from RNAcentral. Lineage: Bacteria; Pseudomonadati; Bacteroidota; Bacteroidia; Bacteroidales; Bacteroidaceae.